GGUUGGAUCAUUAAAAAAUCUUUUGAAGAUUAGUUGGAAAUUUUCUUAUUUUGUUUGGUCUCCUUUUUUUUCUUUUUGAUUUCUAAGGUUUUGGCGGAUGAUUCCCUGAUACUUUUUUGAUCGAAGAAGGGGGGAGGGGGGUCAUACGAAUGAGGGAAAUUCCAGCUUUUCAACAAAUUUGUGAACUUUAUUAUCGUCUCUUGGUGGGUUUUAAGCGAAGCGUUGUAAUCUCCGGUGAUGAUUGUAUUUAAAACCUUUUUAAGGGAUAAGUAUAUUCUCAGAUCCAUGUUUAAACGACUGUUUUUACAUAAAAGAGUUACCAUUCCAGGGACCCCCCGUGGUCCCCGCAACCCACCAGCUUAUUACUUUGAACUUUUAUAUCGUUUUAAAAUUAGUCUUGAAUUUCUUAAUUAUUGUUAAUAAUUACUAAAACAACUUUUGACAACGGAUCUCUAGGCUCUCGCAACGAUGAAGAACGCAGCGAAAUGCGAUAAGUAAUGUGAAUUGCAGAAUUCCGUGAAUCAUCAAAUCUUUGAACGCACAUUGCGCUCUUUGGUAUUCCAUUGAGCAUAUCUGUUUGAGAAUCAGUUUAAUUAUCAAAAACUUUACUUGUUCAGUUUAAUUACAGUUCCUUGAGUUUAGUUUUUGGAUUUGGGACGUUACUAGUCUCUUUAGAUAGAGAUUGGUUGACCUUAAAAACUUUUCUUUUAUCAGUUUGAGAAGAUUAUUUCUCGUCUGAAGUUUUGAACUCGAAAGCAUGACCAAUGGACGCAAGUUCUAAUCGAUUGCUGAUAACGGUUUUUAAUGAAUGGUGGAUUGGUCUUUUUAAACCAAUUUUUUUCUUGUUCAUGUUUUUUUUUGGAUGGGGGAGUUAUUUUUUUGACAGUUUUGAGCUUGAACAUAUCAAGUUUUUUGGAUUGUUUUAGAGUGACUUUUUACUUCUUUUUUAAACAACGAAUAAAAAAAUUUUGGAAUGGUGAAUGAUGAAAUCAUUUUUUAACACGAGGGGAUCCUUUUUUACGAGGAAACCUUUAAGACUUGAUCUCAAAUCAGAUAAGACUACCCGCUGAACUUAAGCAUAUCAAUAAGCGGAGGAAAAGAAACUAACAAGGAUUCCCCUAGUAACGGCGAGUGAAGCGGGAACAGCUCAAAUUUUAAAUCUCCUUGGGUUUACUCAAGGCGAAUUGUAGUUUAAAGAAGUAUUUUUCGAAGAUACCCGACGUAAAAGUUCCUUGGGAUAGGGCAUCAUAGAAGGUGAGAAUCCUGUGUGAUGUUGGAUUCAAAUCUUCAAUGUGAUAUACUUUCAAAGAGUCGGAUUGUUUGGGAAUGCAGUCCAAAAUGGGUGGUAAAUACCAUCUAAAGCUAAAUAUUGGCGAGAGACCGAUAGCGAACAAGUACCGUGAGGGAAAGAUGAAAAGAACUUUGAAAAGAGAGUUAAAAGUACGUGAAAUUGUCAAAAGGGAAACACUUGAAACCAGUUUUGUUUGUUGGGAUCUCAACCACUCUAACGAGUUGGCCUACGUUCCCAACUACAGGUCAAUAUCAGUUUGACUUGGAUUAUAAUGCUUGAGGAAGGUAGCUCCCCUUCGGGGGGUGUUAUAGCCUCAAGUGAUAAUCUGAGUUGGAUUGAGGAUCGCAGUGCAGUCUUGGGCGUCCUAUCGCUAGUUGAAACUAAUAGAUGGACAACUUGUUGAUCAUUCUUUUGGUGUAGACUAAUCGGUGGGGUCCGCCACAACUUGUGCUUGGGAUAUUGGCAUAAUGGUUUUAAAUGACCCGUCUUGAAACACGGACCAAGGAGUCUAACACAUAUGCGAGUAUUUGGGUGUGAAAACCCGAUAUGCGUAAUGAAAGUAUUAUGGUGUGAUCUUCUUUUUCGGAGGAAGUGCAACAUCGACCGGUCUGGAUAUUUUUAAUUGAUGGAUCUGAGUAAGAGCAUAUUUGUUAGGACCCGAAAGAUGGUGAACUAUGCCUGAAUAGGGUGAAGCCAGAGGAAACUCUGGUGGAAGCUCGUAGCGAUUCUGACGUGCAAAUCGAUCGUCGAAUUUGGGUAUAGGGGCGAAAGACUAAUCGAACCGUCUGGUAGCUGGUUCCCUC
This 2094-nucleotide unclassified non-coding RNA is filed under the name uncultured fungus. Its description in RNAcentral is "sequence contains 18S rRNA gene, ITS1, 5.8S rRNA gene, ITS2, 28S rRNA gene". The stretch from base 1040 to 2094 matches the Rfam family "Eukaryotic large subunit ribosomal RNA", at positions 1 to 961 of the family's 3401-position model. Lineage: Eukaryota; Fungi. The record is from RNAcentral.